GAUAUGCAGGGUUAACUACUGCGAUGUUGAAUCACCUGAAUAUAUGAGACCACUGCCAAGACAUUCAGUUUUUAAAGAAGUAAGCUGAAGAACCACACACUCAGCACCACAAAAGGAGAGAUGCAAAGAGCAAGUGUUGUCACAGAUCGCAUGGCAAGAGCUGGACAACUGCUUCGAUUCUGUGGAGCAAGAAUGUAACAGCAGCAUUGCUAACAUACACUCAGAGAAAGGCCUGUUUAGCUGGGGUUAAACAGAUGCCUAACUGGAAAAUGUACUGAAAGAACAUUUUUUAACGCUCAAAGCUGCAUUUUAGUAGUUACAGAAAACCUGUAGUGUUGCUUUAUACAAACUUACCAUUCUCAGGGGUCAUUAUCUGACUUAAAUUGCAGAGUGGAAUUUGCAUAAUUAUAAAACUGUAUAAUGCAGCUUUGACAAUCUAUGUUUUAUGUCAGCACUAUAAAUUACUUGAGAUGAAAUGGAACAAACCAUGAGAUAGUGCAUUCCAUUCCUUC
RNAcentral lists this long non-coding RNA (512 nucleotides) under Calidris pugnax (ruff). RNAcentral's name for it is "lncRNA (ENSCPUG00000002764.1)". Lineage: Eukaryota; Metazoa; Chordata; Aves; Charadriiformes; Scolopacidae. The record is from RNAcentral.